AAGAAAGAGGCAAAAUUUUGGCAAGUCAUUGGGAGACCUAGCAACAAAAUUCGCUUCCCCCCCACUCCUUUCCCAUCCAUUUGAAAUGCAGGUUGCCUCAAAGCAGCAUGAAAUCCCUGGGAACUUCUUGUGCCCUUUCAACAAAUCAGCUCGAUGAAGGGAGAUGACUCAGUCUCCUCUGCCCCUGAAAGCCAGAGCCAACUCUGGCUACCAGCACUCUUGGCUUCACAAAAGAACAAUUUACCCUGGUUCCCUCCCAGACUCCAGUCAGUCUCCCUGAAACUUCAAGUGGCAUCAAAGAGGGUCUUCAGCAAAAAGAGAGAACAGCUGGUCUCAAUCUUUUCUCUGACAGUUUUUCACAUGCUGGGGGACUUAAAAGGAUUUGUCCUACUUCAUUAGCAAAGUGCCUCAGGGAAAGUACACAGGAUAACUGAGAAAAUUUCUACUGAGCAUGAUUGAAGAAAACUCACCAAAAAAAGAAGUCAAGGCAAGAGAGAAUGGAGCAGAACAACAACAAUCUGAGCAAAUCAUGGCUGGAAACUUUUCAAAUGUGCUGGAAAACACCAAUUAUAGCUUGGAAGAUACAAUAUUUUAAAAAUAUUCAUUUUACCCAAAUUAAUAUUCCAUUUUAAUCUCAAUCAUAAUCGAACAGCUGGUUUUAUAGAAAUUGAUAAUGUUGUAUUAAAAUGUACAUGAAUAUGUAUGCAACCUAGAUUUUACCAAACAAUCUUAGAGGAAACAAUAAAGAAAAACCUGGAAGGCUUUCACUAUUUGACUGUAAGAAUUACUCUAGAUUAAUUUAGUCAAGACAACAUAGCACUGUCACAAAGAUAAAUAAAUGGAUCCAUGAAAUAGAAUGGAGUGUCCAAAUGAACCCAUGUUUAUACGGCGAAUUCAGUCUCAAUAAAGAUGCCAAUUUAGUUCAAUAAGAAAAUGACAACCUUGUCAAUAAAUGGUGCUGGAUUAACUGACUAUCCAUAUGAAAAUGAAAAUGUUCAGCUCCUAGUUUCAUCAUGCACAAAAAUUAAUUUGUGAUAGCUCAGAAGUCCACACAUAAAAUCAAAAUCUAUAAUGCCUUGAGACAAAAGCAUAAAAAAAAUUUUUAUUAACAUUACAAACAUUAAGGAAAUAAACAGGCAAGCCAAAGUAUAAAAAAAUUCAAAAAUAUGUAUUUACAAAACAUAUAUUUGACAAAGGACUUGUAUCUAGAAUAGACUCUUAAUUCCCACAGUUCAAAAUGUGAGCAGAAGACAUGGAAAAGUUGCAAAUUAAGUUAUAUACAAGACCAAUAAAUACAUAAAAAUUACUCAGCAAAUUUAAAUGAUUUAUCACUGAAUUCCUAUAAAACGGCCAGAAUGUAGAGCUCUAACAACACUGAUAUUGCAAAGAUGUGAACAACUGGAAUGCUCACACUGGUAAGAACAUAGAAUUUCAUAUAACCACUUUCAUAUAAAAGUUUGACAAUUUUUCUUCAAUUGCCUAUCCUUAGACCCAGUUUUCUUUUCCUAGGUAUAUAUAGAAGAAAAGUGAAAGCAUAUGUCUACACAAAGACUUAGACCAGUAUAUUCACAGCAACUUUAACAAUUAUAGCCAAACACUGGAAACAAUUCAAAUGCACAUCUGCAGAAAAAUGGAUUAACAAGCUAUUGUAUAGUCAUAAAAUAGAAUAUUACCCAAUAAUAACAAUGUCUGACCUGUUGAAUCACUUAACGACCUGGAUUACUCUCAUAAAUAAUAUGUAGAGUGAAAGAAAGAUAAGAAGAACACAGGUUGAACUAUUUUAUUUUUGUAAAGUUUUAGAACAAGCAAACCUUAUCCAAGGCAGAAGAAAAUGGCAAUACUGGUUGUCUGCUUUGGGAUAAAGGGGUAUGACUGGAAGGGACUACAGCAAAGCCUUCAGGAGAGACAAGAGGGCCCUGUUAUAAUGAGGUGUGGAUUGUGGGUUACCUGGUUGUAUUCAGUUUUUGAAUUGUACAUUGAAUGUUUGUGUAUCUUAGUGUAGGUGAAUUACACCUCAAUGAAAAAAAAUUAAUGGCUCCCUGAUGCCUGUGUAUCCUGACUAGGAGAUACCUCCUAUCAGAGGCUGACAGAUACCUCAUAUAGGAGAACUUUGGCUACCAACUGGUGAGUACCCUUUGAGAUAAAGCUACCAGAGAAAGGAACAGGCAGCAAUCUUUGCUGUUCUGAAGCCCCCACUGGUGAUUCCCAGGCAAUCAGGGUCUGGAGUGGACCUCCAGCAAACUCCAGCAGAGGAGCCUGACUGUUAGAAGGGAAGUUAACAAACAGAAAUAGUUUCAACAUCAACAGAAAGGAUGUCCACUCAGAGACCUCAUCCAAAGGCCACCAACUUCAAAUAUCAAAGGUAGAUACAUUCACGAGGAUGGGAAGAAACCAGCGCAAAAAGGCUGAAAUCUCCAAAAACUAGAACAUUUCUUCUUCUCCAAGGGAUUGCAACUUCUCACCAGCAAGGGAACAAAACUGGAUGGAGAAUAAGUUUGAUGAACUGACAGGUAAUAACAAACGUCUCUGAGCUAAAGGAGCAUAUUCUAACCAAAUGCAAGGAAGCUAAGAAACUUGAAAAAAGGUUAGACGAAAUGCUAACUAGUAUAUCCAGCCUAGAGAAGAAUAUAAACAACUUGAUGGAGCUGAAAAACACAGCACAGGAACUUUGGGGAGCAUACACAAUUUUCAAUAGCUGAAUUGAUCAAGCAAAAGAAAGAAUAUCAGAGACUGAAGAUCAACUCAAUGAAAUAAAGAAUGCAAGAUUAGAGAAAAAAGAAUAAAAAGAAAUGAACAGACCUCCAAGAAAUAUGGAAUUAUAUUAAAAGACCAAAUCUACAUUUGAUCACUGUAUCUGAAAGUGAUGGAGAGAAGGAAACCAAAUUGGAAAACAUUUUGAGGAUAUUACCCAGGAGAACUCUCCCAACCUAGCAAGGCAGGACAACAUUCAAAUUCAGGAAAUACAGAGAACUCCACAAAGAUACUCCUUGAGAAGAGCAACUCCAAGACAAAAUCAUCAGAUUCCCUAGGGUUGAAAUGAAGGAAAAAACGCUAAGGGCAGCCAGACAGAAAGGUGGGGUUACCCACAAAGGGAAGCCAAUCAGAGUCACAGCAGAUCUCUCAGCCAAAACCCUAGAAGCCAGAGGGGAGUAAGGACCAAUACUCAACAUCCUUAAAGAAAAGAAUUUAUAACCCAGAAUUUUAUAUCCAGCCAAACCAAGCCUUAUAAGCAAAAAAGAAAUCAAAUCUUUUACAGAAAAGCAACUGCUUAGAGAUUUCAUGACCACCAGGCCUGCCUUACAAGAGCUCCUGAAGGAAGCACUCAACAUGGAAAGGAACAACCAGUACCAGCUACUGCAAAAAACAUAUCAAAUUGUAAAGACCAUGGACACUAUGAAGAAACUCCAUCAACUAAUGGGCAAAACAACCAGCUAGCAUCAAAAUGGCAGGAUCAAAUUAACACAUAACAAUAUUAACCUUUGGUGUAAAUGGGCUAAAUGCCCUAGUUAAAAGACACAGACUGGCAAACUGUAUAAAGAGUCAAGAUCUAUCGGUGUGCUGUAUUCAGGAGACUCAUCUAAAGUGCAAAGAAACACAUAGGUUAAAAUAAAGGGAUGGACGAAGAUUUACCAAGCAAAUGGAGGGUGAAAAAAGCAGGGAUUGCAAUCCUAGUCUCUGAUAAAACAGACUUUAAACCAACAAAGAUCAAAAGAGAUGAAGAAGGGUAUUACAGAGUGGUAAAGAGAUCAAUGCAACAAGAAGAGCUAAUAAUCCUAAAUAUAUAUGCAUCCAAUACAGAAGCACACAGAUACAUAAAGCAAGUCCUUAAUGACCUAUAAAGAGACUUAGACUCUUAUGCAAUAGUAGCAGGAGACUUAACACCCCACUGUGAAUAUUACACAGAUCAACAAGACAGAAAAUUAUCAAGGAUAUCCAGGACUUGAACUCAGAUCUGGAUCAAGUGAACUUAAUAGACAUCUACAUAACUCUCUAUCCCAAAUCCACAGAAUAUACAUUCUUCUCAGCGCCACACUGCACUUAUUCUAAAAUUGACCACAUAAGUGGAAGUAAAAAACCCCUCAGUAAAUGCCAGAGAAUGGAUAUUGUAACAAACAGUCUCUCAGAGCACAGUGCAAUCAAAUUACUACUCAGGAUUAAGAAACUCACUCAAAACUGCACAACUAUAUGGAAACUGAACAAUCUGCUCCUGAAUGAUUACUGGAUAAAUAAUGAAAUGAAGGCAGAAAUAAAGAUGUUCUUUGAAACCAAUGAGAAUGAAGACACAAUAUGCCAGAAUCCCUGGGACACAUUUAAAGCAGAGUCUAGAGGUAAAUUUAUAGCACUAAAUGCCCACAAGAGAAAUGAGGAAAGAUCCAGAAUUGACACCCUAACAUCACCAUUAAAAUAAAUAUAGGAGCAAGAUCAAACAAAUUCAAAAGCCAGCAGAAGACAAGAAAUAACUAAGAUCAGAGCAGACCUAAGGAGACAGAGACACAAAAAACCCUUCAAAUAAUCAAUGAAUUCAGGAGCUGGUAUUUUGAAAAGAUCAACAAAAUAGAUAGACCCCUAGCCUUAAUAAUAAGGAAGAAAAGAAAGAAGAAUCAAAUAGAUGCAAUAAAAAAUGAUAAAGGGGAUAUCACCGCUGAUUCCAUAGAAAUACAAACUACCAUCAGAGAAUAUUACAAACAGCUCCAUGCAAAUAAACCAGAAAAUCUAGAAGAAAUGGAUAAAUUCCUGGACAUCUACACCUCCCAAGACUAAACCAAGAAGUUAAAUCCCUGAAUAGAUGAAUGACAAGGUCUGAAAUUGAGGCAGUAAUUAACAAAUUAAUAGUCUACCAACCAAAAAAGUACAGAACCAGAUGGGGGCACAGGUGACUUCUACCAGAUGUGCAAAGAGGAGCUGAUACCAUUCCUUCUGAAACUAUUCCAAACAAUACGAGAAGAGGGAAUCCUUCCUAACUCAUUUUAUGAGACCAACAUAAUCCUGAUACCAAAUCCUGGCAGAGACACAACUAAAAAAGAAAAUUUCAAGCCAAUAUCACUGAUGAACAUCUAUGUGAAUAUCCUCAAUGAAAUACUGGCAAACCAAAUCCAACAGCACAUCAAAAAGCUUAUCAAAUGUGAUCAAGUUGGCUUCAUCCCUGGGAUUCAAGGCUGGUUCAACAUAUAAAAAUCUAUAAAUGUAAUCCAUCACAUAAACAGAACCAAAGACAAAAACCACAUGAUCAUCUCAAUAGAUGCAGAGAAGGCCUUCGACAAAAUUCAACAGUCCUUUAUGCUAAAAUCUCUCAAUAAACUAGGUAUUGAUGGAAUGUAUCUCAAAAUAAUGAGCUAUUUAUGACAAACCCAAAGCCAAUAUCAUACUGAAUGGGCAAAUAUACAAGCAUUCCCUUUGAAAACUGGCACAAGACAAGGAUGUCCCCUCUCACCACUCCUGUUUAACAUAGUAUUGGAAGUUCUGGUCAGGGCCAUCAGCCAAGAGAAAGAAAUAAAGUGUAUUCAGUUAGGAAAAGAAGAAGUCAAAUUGUCUCUUUUUGCAGACAACAUGAUUGUAUACUUAGAAGACCCCAUCAUCUCAGCCCAAAAUCUCCUGAAACUGAUAAGCAACUUCAGCAAAGUUUCAGGAUACAAAUUCAAUGUGAAAGAGUCACAGGCAUUCCUACACACCAGUAAUACACAAACAGAGAGCCAAAUCAUAAGUGAAUUCCCAUUCACAAUUGCUACAGAGAGAAUAAAAUGCCUAGGAAUACAACUGACAAGGGAUGUGAAAGACCUCUUCAGGGAGAACUACAAACCAUCACUCAAGGAAAUAAGAGAGGACACAAACAGAUGGAAAAACAUUCCAUGCUAAUGGCUAGGAAGAAUCGAUAUUGUGAAAAUGGUCAUACUGCCCAAAGUAAUUAACAGAUUCAAUGCUAUCCCCAUCAAGCUACCAUUGAUUUUAUUCACAGAACUGGAGAAAACCACCUUAAACUUUAUACGGAAUCAUGAAAGAGCACACAUAGCCAACACAAUUAUAAGCAAAAAAAAAAAAGGAGCCAUUAUGCUAUCUGACUUUAAACUAUACUACAAGGCUACAACAGUCAAAACAGCAUAGCACUGGUAACAAAACAGAGAUAAAGACCAAUGCACAUAAUAGAGGCCUCAGAAAUAACAUCACACAUCUACAACCAUAUAAUCUUUGAGAAAUCUGACAAAAACAAGCAAUGAAGAAAGGAUUCUCUAUUAAUAAAUGAUGUUGGGAAAACUGGCCAGUCAUAUGCAAAAAGCUGAAACUGGAUCCCUUCCUCAUGCAUUAUACAAAAAUUAACUCCAGAUGGAUUAAAGAUUUAAACAUAGGACCUAACACCAUAAAAACUCUAGAAGAAAACCGAGGCAAUACCAUUCAGGACAUAGGCAUGAGCAAAGACUUCACGACUAAAACACCCAAAGCAAUGGCAACGAAAGCCAAAAUAGACAAAUGGGAUCCAAUUAAACUAAAGAGCUGCUGCACAGCAAAAGAACCUAUCAUUAGAGUCAAUGGUUAACCAACAGAAUAGGAAAAAAUAUUUGCAAACUACCCAUAUGACAAAGGCCUAAUAUCCAGAAUCUACAAAGAACUUAAACAAAUUUACAAGAAAAAAACAAAUAAUCCCAUCAAAAGUGGUCGAAGGAUAUGAACAGGCACUUCUCAAAGGGAGACAUUUAGGUAAUCAACAAACAUAUGAAAAAAAGCUCAUCAUUACUGGUCAUUAGAGAAAUGAAAAUCAAACCCGCAUUGAGUUACCAUCUCAUGCCAGUUAGAAUGGUGAUCAUUAAAAAAAUCAGGAGACAACAGAUGCUGGAGAGGAUGUGGAGAAAUAAGAAUGCUUUUACACUGCUGGUAGGAGUUUAAAUUAGUUCAACCAUUAUGGAAGACAGUGUGGCGAUUCCUCAAAGAUUUAAAACUAGAAAUACCAUUUGACCCAGCAAUGCCAUUACUGGGUAUAUACCUAAAGGAGUAUAAAUCAUUCUAUUAUGAAGACAUAUGGACACAUAUGUUUACUGUGGCACUGUUCACAAUAGCAAAGACUUGGAACCAACUCAAAUGCCCAUCAAUGAUAAGCUGAAUAAAAAAAAUGUGGCACAUCUGCACCAUGGAAUACUAUGCAGCCAUAAAAAAGGAUGCAUUAAUGUCUUUUGUGGGCACACAGAUAAAGCUGGAAACCAUCAUUCUCUGCAAACUGACAUGAGAACAGGAAACCAGACACUACAUGUUCUCAUUCAUUGGCAGGUGUUGAACAAUGAGAACACAUGGACACAGGGAGGAGAACAUCAUACAUUGGAGCUUUUUAGGGGGUGGGAGGCUCAGGGAUGGAUAGCAUUAGAAAAAAUGCCUAAUGUAGAUGACAGGGUGAUGGAUGCAGCAACCACCAUGGCAUGUGUAUACCUAUGUAACAGACCUGCAUGUUCUGGACAUGUACCCCAGAACCUUAAGUAUAAUAAAAAAAUAAGAUAAAAUAAAAUAAUAUCACUAAUAGUACUAAUGAUAAUCAAAUUGUAGAUACAAAAUGGUUGAAGGUAUAGAGAUAACACAAAUGGCAGAAUGUUGAUAACUGUACAAUCUGAAUGACAGGUCCAUGGGGUGUCAGUGUACUAUUUUAUUUAGUUUUUAUGCUUUUAUUUAGAAAAUGUAUAAUAAAAAGUUAAAAAUAAUUUGAUAUGCAAUACAGUUACAUGACAAUUAUUAGAAAAUGACAUUAUUCAGUAAUCAUUAAAAACUCAAAUUUGUAGGCUGGGCAUUUUUCUUUUUUUUACAGGUUUUUUUUCAAACCUGUAAUCCCAGCACUUUGGGAGGCCAAGGUGGGCGAAUCAGGAGGUCAACAGUUUGAGACCAGUCUGACCAAUGUGGUGAAACCCCAUCUCCACAAAAAUACAAAAAUUAGCCAGGCAUGGUGGUGCACGCCUGUAAUCCUAGCUACUCAGGAAGCUGUGGCAGAAGAAUUGCUUGAACCUGGGAGGUGGAGGUUGCAGUGAGCCAAGAUCACACCAUUGCCCUCCAGCCUGGACAACAGAGUGAGACUCUGUCUAAAAAAAUUAAAUAAAUAAAUUACUAAAAAAUGAAAACAAAAAAACGCCUCAAAUUUAUAUUAGAUUUUAUCAAAAACAAUUAAAUCUAAUUGCUCACACACAUAAAUAAAAUAGCUUUUGUAUCUUAAAAAUCAUAUGGCACAAACAACCCAAUUAAAUAUUCACAAGAAAUUUAAGUAGAUAGUUUACUAAAAGACACGAAUGGAAAAUAAGCAUAUGAAAAGAUUCUUAACCUCAUUUGUCAUUAGACAAAUAAAAAUCCAAACCACAAUAAGUGUCACUUUAUAUUCAUUACAAUAGCUAAAAUAAAACAGAUUGAAAAUACUAAGUGUUGGCAGCUAUGCAAAACAACUGUUGGGAAUACAAAAUUAAACACACUUACCAAACCACCCAGAAAUUUCACAUCUAAGCAUUACACAAGAGGAAUAAGAGAAUAUGUUCACACAAAGAUUUGUGAAGGAAUGUUCACAGAUAGCAGUUUUAUUCUUAAUAAUAAAAAACCAGAAACAAUCCACAUGUUCACCAACUGCAGAAGAGACAAAUUUGGGAUUAUAUGUACUAUAGAAUGCAAUUCAGCAAUGGAAAGGAACAAACUCUUUGUAUUCGCCUCAUAAUUAAGCCUCAAAAGCAUUGUGUGAAGCAUCACAAAAUAAGCCAGUAACAAAAUAUUACAUAUCCUAUAAUUUUGCUUAUAUGAAAUGCUAGGAAAGGGAAAAAAAUCAGUGGUUGCCAGGGUUCUGUGGGUGGAAGGAGGCAACUGAUUGGAAAGGGAUGUGUGAGAACUUUUUAGGAUGAUGGAAAUAUUUCCUAUCAUGAUUACAGUAGAAGUAACAUUAUUGUGUAAAUUUGACAAAACCUAUGGAAUUGAACAAGUUAAAAGAGAAGAUUUUAUAACUUAAAAAGUGAAUUGGGAACAUGCUUCUACAUAUACAGACUCUAUCUUCCAUGGGAAGUUUAAUUUUUUUCCUGGUACUGUUUCUGAAAGAACAGCCAGUAUGAUCACAGAAAAUCACAUUAAACAUGAAGAUGCAGAAUGGAAACCAGGCCUACACUUCAGCACAGGCACUAAGAGGCUCAGGAAACACUAUGCUCUACUUAGACUCAGUCUUAUGACACAAUCAUAUUAAAAAGUUAUAGCUCUGAAAUGCCAACAAACUGUGUGGCUUUAAAUAUACCAUCUUCAAAUCAGUUCUAAGUAAAGGCCAACUUCUUACGUGUUAUCCUACUUGCUGGCUAUACCUUAUGGUCUCCAAGUGCUUCUCUGAGAAGUUGUUGCAUGGUGUUAUUUCACAGUCUUCUGCCCUUCUUCUGAGUCAGAGAAGAACUCAGUUGAGAAUUAAAGGGGGAAAAAUGAAAUGCAGAAAAUAACCUUGUCUGUAUUGGGAGACAAAUGGAGCUAAGAAGGCAACCAACUGAGAUUAAUGUUGGUAUCAACCUAUCCACAAAGAUUUUUGUUGUUGUUUGCAAUUGUCUUAAGAAUGAAAAAUUCAAAAUGCAUUUAAGUAACGUUCCUAGUAACUCAGAAUGUGAAUAGCCUUUCUUAUAUCAUCUUUUGCAUUUUUGUAUCAUAUUUUUUAUUUGACAAAUGAAGAUAAUAUACAUAUUUAUGCUGUACAAUGUGAUGUUUUGCUAUAUGCAUCCCACACUGUGGAAUGGCUAUAUCAACCUGUUUAACAUAUGCAGUACCUCGCAUGCUUUUAUUCUUUGUAGUGAGAACACUUAAAAUCUACUCUCGGCAAUUUUCCUGAAUGAGUAUAUUGUGACAAUAAUUACAAUGAUGUACACCAAUCUCUUGAACUUAUUCCUCCUGUCCAGCUGCAAUUUUAUAUCAUUUGGUCAACUUAAACUUUAAGUUUCUAGUUGCCUUUUUUGGUACCAGAAGUCAUAGAAUUCAAAAAGUCAGAGGGGACAAAGGGCAUCACUUGGUUUUAGUAAACCAAGUGAUGAUUUUUAGUACAGCAUCACUUUUAGAAGGCUGCCAAUUCUGAGGCUGCUAACAGUUUCCUCAAUGUGUUUACACCCAUAAGAAGGGUUUGUCAACAUUACAGGAAACACUGACAGAGAAGAUCUAGGGUGUGGCUGCUGCCAAACUCAAUGCGAAAACUCACCAUUCUUGGAAUUCUUUUUUUUUUU
This is a non-coding RNA of Callithrix jacchus (white-tufted-ear marmoset), 10184 nucleotides long. The record is from RefSeq and is a predicted model, not a curated record. Lineage: Eukaryota; Metazoa; Chordata; Mammalia; Primates; Cebidae.